GACCCGGUACCAUUAGCUUGUUGGUAGGGUAAUGGCUUACCANAGGAACGAAGUUUAGCUGGCCUGAGAGGAUGAUCAGCCACACUGGAACUGAGACACGGUCCAGACUCCUACGGGAGGCAGCAGUGGGGAACUCUUGCGACAAGGGGAAACACAACAACAGCGACGCCGCGUGAGUGAUGAAGGCCUUCGGGUCGUAAAGCUCUGUCAGGUGGGAAGUGCCGGUACCACCAAAGGAAGCACCGGCUAACUCCGUCCCAGCAGCCGCGGUAAUACGGAGGGUGCGAGCGUUGUUCGGAAUUAUUGGGCGUAAAGAGCUUGUUAGCGGUUUGGCAAGUCAGAUGUGAAAGCCCUCGGCUCAACCAGGGAAGUGCAUUGAAACUGCCGGACUAGAGUACGGGAGAGGAGAGCGGAAUUCCCGGUGUAGAGGUGAAAUUGUAGAU
Molecule: ribosomal RNA, 443 nt
Filed under: uncultured bacterium
Lineage: Bacteria
Description: bacterial SSU rRNA
Rfam family: Bacterial small subunit ribosomal RNA
Source: RNAcentral